AAAUUGAAGAGUUUGAUCAUGGCUCAGAUUGAACGCUGGCGGCAGGCCUAACACAUGCAAGUCGAGCGGCAGCGGGAAGUAGUUUACUACUUUGCCGGCGAGCGGCGGACGGGUGAGUAAUGUCUGGGAAACUGCCUGAUGGAGGGGGAUAACUACUGGAAACGGUAGCUAAUACCGCAUAACGUCUUCGGACCAAAGUGGGGGACCUUCGGGCCUCACGCCAUCGGAUGUGCCCAGAUGGGAUUAGCUAGUAGGUGGGGUAAUGGCUCACCUAGGCGACGAUCCCUAGCUGGUCUGAGAGGAUGACCAGCCACACUGGAACUGAGACACGGUCCAGACUCCUACGG
RNAcentral lists this ribosomal RNA (347 nucleotides) under Yersinia enterocolitica subsp. palearctica YE-150. Its description in RNAcentral is "bacterial SSU rRNA". It matches the Rfam family "Bacterial small subunit ribosomal RNA", at positions 1 to 344 of the family's 1533-position model. Lineage: Bacteria; Pseudomonadati; Pseudomonadota; Gammaproteobacteria; Enterobacterales; Yersiniaceae. The record is from RNAcentral.